UUUGAUCCUGGCUCAGGACGAACGCUGGCGGCGUGCUUAACACAUGCAAGUCGAGCGGUAAGGCCCUUUCGGGGGUACACGAGCGGCGAACGGGUGAGUAACACGUGGGUGACCUGCCCUCCACUCUGGGAUAAGCCCGGGAAACUGGGUCUAAUACCGGAUAGGACCACUGAUCGCAUGGUUGGUGGUGGAAAGUUUUUUCGGUGGGGGAUGGGCCCGCGGCCUAUCAGCUUGUUGGUGGGGUGAUGGCCUACCAAGGCGGUGACGGGUAGCCGGCCUGAGAGGGCGACCGGCCACACUGGGACUGAGACACGGCCCAGACUCCUACGGGAGGCAGCAGUGGGGAAUAUUGCGCAAUGGGCGGAAGCCUGACGCAGCGACGCCGCGUGGGGGAUGACGGCCUUCGGGUUGUAAACCUCUUUCGCCAGGGACGAAGAGCAAUUGACGGUACCUGGAGAAGAAGCACCGGCCAACUACGUGCCAGCAGCCGCGGUAACACGUAGGGUGCGAGCGUUGUCCGGAAUUAUUGGCGUAAAGAGCUCGUAGGCGGUGUGUCGCGUCGGCCGUGAAAACUUGGGGCUUAACUCUGAGCGUGCGGUCGAUACGGGCAUCACUUGAGUUCGGCAGGGGAGACUGGAAUUCCUGGUGUAGCGGUGAAAUGCGCAGAUAUCAGGAGGAACACCGGUGGCGAAGGC
Molecule: ribosomal RNA, 695 nt
Filed under: Pseudonocardia sp. GWS-AG-H107
Lineage: Bacteria; Bacillati; Actinomycetota; Actinomycetes; Pseudonocardiales; Pseudonocardiaceae
Description: bacterial SSU rRNA
Rfam family: Bacterial small subunit ribosomal RNA
Source: RNAcentral